Molecule: ribosomal RNA, 247 nt
Filed under: uncultured archaeon
Lineage: Archaea
Description: partial 16S ribosomal RNA
Rfam family: Archaeal small subunit ribosomal RNA
Source: RNAcentral
CCGACGGUGAGGGGCGAAAGCUGGGGGAGCAAACCGGAUUAGAUACCCGGGUAGUCCCAGCUGUAAACGAUGCGCGUUAGGUGUGUCAGUGACCACGUGUCACUGAUGUGCCGAAGGGAAACCGUGAAACGCGCCGCCUGGGGAGUACGGUCGCAAGGCUGAGACUUAAAGGAAUUGGCGGGGGAGCACCACAACGGGUGGAGCCUGCGGUUUAAUCGGACUCAACGCCGGAAAUCUCACCGGAUAA